RNAcentral lists this small RNA (138 nucleotides) under uncultured Citrobacter sp. RNAcentral's name for it is "STAXI RNA". It matches the Rfam family "STAXI RNA", at positions 2 to 137 of the family's 153-position model. The record is from RNAcentral. Lineage: Bacteria; Pseudomonadati; Pseudomonadota; Gammaproteobacteria; Enterobacterales; Enterobacteriaceae.
GUUGUCAUCGACAACUGCCAAUGCCUGAGUGAUUUGAGACAGGCGCCUUCGGGUAAUCACAUGCCAAUGCCACGCAAACCUGAGAGUGGCGCCUUCGGGUGGUUUUGUUAAACCUGUUAACCUCUGAGAACAGGUACU